GAUGAAGAACGCAGCGAAAUGCGAUAAGUAAUGUGAGUUGCAAAAUUCAGUGAAUCAUCGAAUCUUUGAACGCACAUUGCGCCCGCCAGUAUUCUGGCGGGCAUGCCUGUUCGAGCGUCAUUUCAACCAUCAAGCCCCAGGCUUGUGUUGGGGACCUGCGGCUGCCGCAGGCCCUGAAAACCAGUGGCGGGCUCGCUGUCACACCGGGCGUAGUAGAUUUUAUCUCGCUCAGGGCGUGCUGCGGGUUCCGGCCGUUAAAAAGCCUUUUUUACCCAAGGUUGACCUCGGAUCAGGUAGGAAUACCCGCUUAACUUAAGCAUAUCAAUAAGCGGAGGA
RNAcentral lists this unclassified non-coding RNA (336 nucleotides) under soil metagenome. RNAcentral's name for it is "partial contains 5.8S ribosomal RNA, internal transcribed spacer 2, and large subunit ribosomal RNA". The stretch from base 1 to 120 matches the Rfam family "5.8S ribosomal RNA", at positions 35 to 154 of the family's 154-position model. The record is from RNAcentral.